This 121-nucleotide small RNA is filed under the name Phyllobacterium trifolii. RNAcentral describes it as "ar14". It matches the Rfam family "Alphaproteobacterial ar14". From Rfam's summary of the family: Smr14C2 was renamed NfeR1 (Nodule Formation Efficiency RNA) highly expressed in salt stress and during the symbiotic interaction on legume roots. The record is from RNAcentral. Lineage: Bacteria; Pseudomonadati; Pseudomonadota; Alphaproteobacteria; Hyphomicrobiales; Phyllobacteriaceae.
GAAUAUCGCCGGGCUUUAUCCUCCUCCCAAAGUUCCCGCGAUCGAAGGCCAGCACUCCUCCUCCCGGCUGGUCUUUACAAAACGACACCCACCGCACCUCCUCCCGCGGUGGGUGUUGUUG